RNAcentral lists this ribosomal RNA (213 nucleotides) under Tetraselmis sp. GSL018. RNAcentral describes it as "partial Bacterial large subunit ribosomal RNA". It matches the Rfam family "Bacterial large subunit ribosomal RNA", at positions 2623 to 2845 of the family's 2925-position model. Lineage: Eukaryota; Viridiplantae; Chlorophyta; Chlorodendrophyceae; Chlorodendrales; Chlorodendraceae. The record is from RNAcentral.
GAGACAGUUCGGUCCAUAUCCGGUAUAGGCGUAAGAGCAUUGAGAGGCGUUCAACAUUGUACGAGAGGACCCGAAGGGACGUACCGAUGGUGUACCAGUUCUUGUGCCAACAGGAAACGCUGGGUAGCUAAGUACGGAAUGGAUAAUCGCUGAAAGCAUCUAAGUGAGAAGCCUACCUCAAGAUGAAUGCUCUCCAUCAGAUCGCGGCAAGAC